GGUGCUGCGGUGCCAGCUGGGGCGGUAAUGCAUGGGGCCCAGGUGUUUGGCGGAUGCACUGGGCGUAAAAGGUGCGUAGGUGGUGAGGUAAGUCGGAUGUGAAAUCUCGUAGCUCAACUCCGAAAUGGCAUUGGAAACUACCUUGCUCGAGGGUUGGAGGGGGGACUGGAAUACUUGGUGUAGCAGUGAAAUGCGUAGAUAUCAAGUGGAACACCAGUGGCGAAGGCGAGUCCCUGGACAACUCCUGACACUGAGGCACGAAAGCUAGGGGAGCAAACAGGAUUAGAUACCCCGGUAGUC
This 300-nucleotide ribosomal RNA is filed under the name uncultured Lactobacillus sp. Its description in RNAcentral is "bacterial SSU rRNA". It matches the Rfam family "Bacterial small subunit ribosomal RNA", at positions 495 to 795 of the family's 1533-position model. The record is from RNAcentral. Lineage: Bacteria; Bacillati; Bacillota; Bacilli; Lactobacillales; Lactobacillaceae.